Molecule: small nucleolar RNA, 138 nt
Organism: Tachyglossus aculeatus (Australian echidna)
Lineage: Eukaryota; Metazoa; Chordata; Mammalia; Monotremata; Tachyglossidae
Source: RefSeq, a predicted model, not a curated record
CUCCUCUCAGAAGUGCUCCUAGAGAGUUUCCAGUAUUCUACCAGUCUCAGCUAUGGGAGGGAGAGUCAAGCAGAGGCAUUCCCAUUCCAAUCCAAGCUUGGCCAGUGGCUAGUGAGUGGAAGGCAAUCUGCUACAAGU